CUGAAGAAGAGGGGCUUAUGCCCCAGACAUGCCACAACUGGCAUGAAUAAGAUACUUUCCUUGGAGGGGAGGCUGCAAGAGAUCGAGCUUGCUGAUAAAUUUGAAGUAGUGAGGCUUUGAGAGAUGUGGGCUGAAGGCACAGUUCAGUGAAGGACCCAUCUCUGGAGGCAAAUGGCAUGCCCCCAGAACCACCUUUCUUUGCAAGAAGGUUUAAAAGGCUACAACAGCAGACACAGGAAAAACUCACCAGAUGCUCCCUUUACUCCUGUGUGGAUGCUUGCGGACUUGAGGUUUUGGCCAGUUCACAUAAUAUGACUGUGUGAGGUCUGGGCCAUACAUUACUGGUAGAGCACAUGCUUUGUAUGCAGUAAACCCCAAGUUCAUGUUUUGCAUCUCCAGUUAGAAAAGAUCUGGGAUGCGGAUCCUGCCUCUGAGACCUUAAAGAGCUGCUCCCAGUUGGAAUGCUGAAUACUAGGUAGACCCUGUAGAAGGCAGCUUCAUGCAUCAUUUUCUCCAUGGCAAGGGGAUUAUGUGCACAAUUUAGAAUUAUACAAGCGGCUGUUAAGAAUUAGGGAGGUUUAAAUGAAGAAGAGUAUAAAAUUGUGGUUUGUGCUUAAAUUAAAUGAUUCAGAUAUUCCCCCCCCUUUCAAGUAUGGUGCAAUUCAUCGCGCUUCAUUUCAAAUGAGGUGUGUGUUUGUGUGUGUGAACUUGUGGAUUGUGCCCCAUGACUCAGAUCUGUCUCCCAUUCUUCUGUCUAUAAUUGCACCCAUAAUCUGCUUCACCUUGAUUCAUGGUAGGGCCACUUCUGGCUUUUCCUGGGAUUCCUGGGUUCAUGGUGGGUACCAUCCAAAUACUUGGCACAUGCCUGAAUUACUCUAGUGCCAGCAGUGCCUGGCUUUCUUUGUUGUACUGUGUUUAACUGGAGUUGCAGCCUGCCUGUCGCUGCUCAGUUGGGCUCUCAUUUGUGUUUCAUUUCUUCCCUGAAUCUUCUCUGGCAAUAAAUUUGGAACCCUUUCCUCCUCCUCCUUCUUGUCCUGCCAGCAUUCUACUUCUUUGGUGAUUUUGUGCUUUGUGUAUUUCUGGAGCACUGCCUCCAAAAUACAGUAUUGCCUUUCUCCUAUUGCCUUUCAAAACUCAAAAGUCUUAUUUUAGUUUGUUUGGUUUCUUUUUGUUUGCCUUUCCAUUGAUUGUUGCCUUUGUUUGGGCUUUUUACCAGUUGCUGCCUUAUAUUCUCAUUUUAAUUUUCUUUCCUGCUAAGCCAGUCUCCACCAUUCCUGAAGUCUAUUUCUGAUGCCGAUUUUAAAACUGUUAUCCCAUUGUGCCACAGAGAGCAUCAAAAUGUUUUAUUCACAAAACAUUUUUUCCUCUCAGGAUCCUGAACUGAUUAAUAUAUAAAUAAUUACAAGACUGAUAUAUCUAUAAGAUUAUUCUGUGGGGCAUCAGAAUAUAAGUGGCUCUAACGUAUACCCCAGGAAGCUCUGCCUCGUAAAGUACAUAAGACGCUUCCCCCAAACAUCACCAGAUCCCUAUCAAUUGCUUUGACGGUGUCAUGUUUUUCUUAGACUGUUUUUGGGUUUGCUGGAAUUUUGCAGCUGAAUAGCAGCAAAGGAGUGGAAUUAUUUUUCAUUUCUUCUGUUUAUUAUGCAUCGAGGGCCCUGAACUGGGUUUGGAAAGGAAAGAGGUGUGAAUUAGUUUGGGGAAGCUUGAAAAGCCACACUGGGGGAUCAGGCAGCAUAGAUCCAAGGCAAGUUUCUGUCUCCAGUCUUGCCUCCCCCUCUCUGCCCCGAAACCUCUCAACUUAAAACAAGCAAAGAGAGCUGACAACCCACAACAAUGGCUCCCUUUCUUCUCUGUUGCUGGUGUUUUGAUAGUUUUAUGUUACACCCCCCCACACACCCACCCUCCGUUGUGGGUUGGAGCUAUGGAGGGGGGCAUGUAGAGAAUCUGACAUGAGCGACAUGAUGUAAUGUUUUUUUUCCAGCCUAGAAACGAGGCAAUUUUUCACCCAAGGUCAGCAAAAUUUAUGUCAAGCCCCCAGACUCCUAGCUGGCUGGGCCUUGAGGUGGAGUGGGGGGAGAAGGAAAGAGCAUUUGGAAAGGCAGGCACCUAGCCUGCCCUGGCUGCACUUUUGUAGUUGGAGGGGCCAGCCUCACUCCACAGCUUCAGCUAAAAGCAUUGCAUCUGCAGCCUAUGAGUGGGGAAGACCAUUUUAUACCCCGCGUUUUGUUGAUCAGCCAUCACAUCUGUUUCCUAUUGAAAGCCUAUUUGGAGGAGACAGACAGAGAGAGCGCCUUUUUAUAGUUUAAUAAUCUUGGAGGCAAUACGCCAGUCCCUUGCGGAUUGUCCACUAAUCGCUCCCCUCCCCCAUCCCUUGUGGUUUUCAUUUUAACUUCUACUAAAACAAAAUAAGCAUAAUAAACCAACUUGAAUGUUAGAGUUCCACCGAAAUUAUCCUUUUCAGCACCACCUCUACUCUUUCUUGAGGUUCUAGAAUAUACAAUGCACUUCUAUUCAAUCCCUUCCCUUUACUCUUUCCAUUUUGGAGGUUUUUUGUGUGUUGGCACUUAAAAGUUACAUAUGAUAAGCUGUGAGUUGUCAGCUGUUUUUGCUUGCUUGGGGUAGAGGAAAAAUGAGGAAAAAUACUAGAGGGAGAAAGGAUCCACCUGCCUGAUUCCCCCCU
Molecule: non-coding RNA, 2680 nt
Organism: Podarcis lilfordi (Lilford's wall lizard)
Lineage: Eukaryota; Metazoa; Chordata; Lepidosauria; Squamata; Lacertidae
Source: the annotation of a GenBank genome assembly